Non-coding RNA from Potamilus streckersoni, 73 nucleotides. Lineage: Eukaryota; Metazoa; Mollusca; Bivalvia; Unionida; Unionidae. The record is from the annotation of a GenBank genome assembly.
GAUCCGGUGGCAUAGUGGUUAGAGCGUCAGCCUUGGAUAGGGGAGGUCGCGGUUUCGAACCCCGGCUGAGUCA